AGAACUUUAAAAACUAGACCACAUUUUCCAGUCUCCUCUGAAGUCAGAUGAAACCAUAUGACUAAGUUACAGCCAGUGAAAGGUUAUUCCUUGAAAUACAUCUGGAUUGUUUAGGGAUUGAUGGAAACCUAUACCCAACUUCAUUCCCUCAUCCUUCUCCUGAGGGAACAGGUUGCUGCAGUCAAUGGACAAUAGCCUCGUGCUUCAAGGAAAUCUUGAGGAGAGAUGUUUCACCUGCAGGCAGCAAACAUGACUACAGACAGAUACUCUUAUUUACCACAAAGUAGUGGAUUCUGGAAGAACUUGGCUCAGAAAUGUAUCUGUACCCCAGAGGAGAGAUCAAGAGUAGAGUCUUGUAAAUGUGUGGUUCUUCCUCUAAGAGGCAGAGGGAGCUGAAUAGGCAGGCUGUGGCUUUCCCACGCCUGAGCUAGGAGCCAUACAUGGAGACUAGGGAGCAAGAGGCUUCCUCCAGGAGCAUCGUUAGGGGACUUGCAGCCUGUUUGCUUCUUUACCACUGACCAGGUAGGUAGAAACUAUGUCAUCUUUCCCUGCUUACUGAACUCCUGCUCUUAGGGCACUGGAUCUGAGUCCAAAGCAACCGACAAAUAAAAAAGGGGAACCUACUUAAGAGGAAGAUCCGUCAGAACAAGAGGAUCCGUCAGAAGAUCCUUGUGUGCAGGAAAACAGAGCUGCCGGAUGAUAGACAACAACUGAAUGAAGGAGGAGGGGUUGGGGAGGAGAGUGGGGAAGAGAAAGAAGGAGAAGACGAAGGAUGAGCAAGCUUCUAGUGCUCAAGGAAAGCAGUCUCUGAUGCUCACUUCAGAUGGGAUCAAAGAGAAAAUAGGGAAGAGAGCAUUGCAGAGGGAGGAACAAGGGCAGAUAGAGAUUGUUGCUGUGACAUAAUCUAGUACAUACUAACUCGCAUGUUAAACUGAAUUACAACAGUCUGCCCUUGCUGGAAUAGGUGUAGUUGAAAACAGCUGAAAAAUGAGAACUUCACAUGAAAAAAUGACUCUCAAUGUCUGGAAAUUUUUAAAGUCAUAAGUAUGUUGCUAAAUUCUCAGUGAAACCUUAGAAGAAUCAAGAAAAAGCUUGUGUGAGGAUCACAGUUUGUCCUGGGGUCAGAAUGGAAAGCAAAUUCUUAAAUAUCUCUUUGAGACCCUACUUGAAAUGAAUGUACUCAUUCACACAGCCUCAUCUUCUUGUUUGAGGAGCAUCACAGACAGUUUUCUGCAUGCCUUCUGAGUUCCUGCUUAUCCUUUUGGGCCCUUCCUUUUUUUUGGAUGAUGUUUUUCUGAUUAAGAGUUAGGACAAAAGGAAAUCUAUGACAUCCACCCCUUUAUGUCUUUCCAAACUAUCUCUUCCCCCAUGAAAUUUAGCAUAAGCUAUGGAUACAGAAAUAAAGAAACUGUCAUAACACAUAAUGUUGGGAAGAUAAGUGCAUUGUAUCACAGCCACUGGGGUUUAUAUUUUAUUAUUUACUGGAAAAGGGAAAACUCAUGAUAGACAGAUUCUUUUCUCAGGCAAAAGGAAGAUGUGAUGUGUGAGCAUGUUAUAGAGGAGAAUUUUAGGAUGUUCUAAAGUUUUCCUUGCAUUUAUUAAGGGCCUUGACCCACCUGAGCUGAAUAGUUUGCCUCUGAAGGAGCAUCUGUUCUAUAAAUUUUUGUUCUCUCACUCCUCCAGUCAUAGAACCAGAAUACACUGUGGCGUCACCUGGUCAAGGUUAUUUUUCCUUAGCAGUACAUAAGGGGUCCUUUAACUUGGUACUCUACAAGGAAAAUCUUAUUUAAAUAAGGAACUAAACCACCUCUACCGGUGAACUACAGAUAGUUUUCUAACAGUGUGCUAAGAGCCAGCCUAUAGAUGCUAAUAGUUAGCAUAAAUAUUUAUAAAGCAUACAAAAAUAUAUUUUUUAAUUUUAUAUAUAAAUAAAAACCAGGCAAUUAAAGAUAAGAUUUAGGUAUAGCUAUUGAUUGCUCUGAUAUUAGUUCUUCAUCUCCCCACAUCUGUGGAGUACUGAAGAACUUAGCCCAUGAGUUCAUUUUUUUAAUUGAGAUAUAAUGGACAUACAACAUUGUAUUAGCUUUAGGUGUACAACAUAGUGAUAUGAUAUUUAUAUAUAUUAUGAAAUGAUCACGACAAUAAGUCAAGUUAACAUCCAUCACUACACACCCUUAUAAUUUUUCUUCUGAUGUGGAUUUAAGUUCUACUCUCCUAGCAACUUUCAGGUAUACAAUACAGUAUUAAUUACUAGAGUCACCACUCUGUAUGCUACAUUUCCAUGACUUAUUUAUUUUAUAACUGGAAGUUUAUACCUUUUUACUUCAGGGAGCCCAUACAUUUAGAUGGUGAAAAAAAUUACAUCUUCACUUUCAUUAAUCUCUAGUAAAAUUUAGCAUGUCCUUCAAUUAUGUUUGUAGGCAACAAGCUACCACAGUAUUAGGAUAUCUGUGCCUUGUUACUGACAUGUUGAAAAUCACAUAUUUCCAUAUCACAUUAUAGAUGCUACAAAUAUCUCAAAAUACUGUUUACUCUCAUUACUGUUUUAAAACCACGUUAGUAAUUAGAUCCAUCACUAACUCUUGUUACCUUCUACACUAGUAAGAAGCACAUAUAUUACUAUUUUAUAAAAUUUUAAUUUUGGUAACUGUGUUCCUAAAUAAUUGAUUUCGGUUGAAAAUCUCAUGUAUUUUUUUUUUUUUUGGUCUUUUUGCAAUUUCUUGGGCCGCUCCCGCGGCAUAUGGGAGGUUCCCAGGCUAGGGGUCAAAUCGGAGCUGUAACCACCAGCCUAUUCCAGGGCCACAGCAAUGCGGGAUCCAAGCCGCGUCUGCGACCUACACCACAGCUCACGGCAACGCCGGAUCCUUAACCCACUGAGCAAGGGCAGGGAUCGAACCCGCAACCUCAUGGUUCCUAGUCGGAUUCGUUAACCACUGCGCCACGACGGGAACUCCCAAAAAUCUCAUGUAUUUUUGACGCAAUUUAAAAUAUUCUUAGAAGGGGCCCACAGGCUUCACCAGAACGCAAGAUGUGUCCAUUGCACAAAAAAUUUCAGAACCCUGCCAAAAGUGGUGAUGAUUAUCAAAUCAUAUUACUGUCUGUAUUUGGCAAAGUGGGCUGUUUUAUCUACAACACACUUUGUUCUUUCUGCAUCCCAAACAUUUAAUCAACAAACAUUUAUUGACUAUCUCUGUAUGCCUGGCACACUUCUAGAUGCUGGAUAUUCAGAAGUAACAUAAACAAGGUCCUUGCCUUCAAGGAGCAUAAGUUGAGUGGGAAGACACAGGAAAUAGAUCAGUAAAUAAACCCAACAAUUUCAAAUUGAGAAAAGUUCUGUAAAGGAAAUAAAUGGUAUUAAGUAAACAGAGCAGAGUGAGGGGAUCAGGAAGCUCUCUCUGAAAAGCUGUCAUCUGAAGGAUGAGCAUGUACCAAACAUGGGAAGAGGUGGGGGGAAUGUAUUCCAAGCAGAAGGAAAACCAAAUGCAAGCACAUCAAGGCUAUGAAAGUCCUAUGCUGGUUCAUGACAGACGGCCUGUGUCUUGGUCACAAUGCUGAUAAGUCCAGAAAGUUGUUUCUCCCUUGGUUUGCAAAUGCUGAACUCAUUAUGCCUCAGUAUUCAGAGUCUGUCAACUGCCUGUUGCUCUUACUCCUUUUCCCUUGCUCACACACAUCCAAGUAAGGCAGGAACCAUGGGAUUUGUAGCUCAUUGUGCAUCUCCCACAAAUGCCCCUGAAAGGCUGAAGUGGGAAGGAUGAUCAUCUUCCAGCUUAAGUUCUACCAGAAGCUCCCCAAUCCAGCUCCUGUUAUUUUUCUCACUACAAAUAUCCCGGCUCAAGACAGGAAAAGCAGGAGUGUAAAGAAGCACAUGGCUACACUUCCAGGGUAACACCCCACUGCACCCUAUUGGUAAUAACCUCUGGAAACACUUUAGGUCUUCCACUACAAUAGAAUGUCACAGUCUUUAGCUGUGACUAAAGAGAAGAUAUAUCUUCUCUCACUGAAGCAUGUAUGUGAUACAAAAAGACACAUGGUUGUGUCUAACACAGAAAACUAAUAAGUGUUAAUUAGGGAAUUAUUUCAUUUUUAAUGCUACUUUAAAAUUUUCCUAGUAAUGUAUUUUUCCUUUAUAGCUACCAUUAAAGACUAUACUAUGUGUAGUAGU
Molecule: long non-coding RNA, 4162 nt
Filed under: Sus scrofa (pig)
Lineage: Eukaryota; Metazoa; Chordata; Mammalia; Artiodactyla; Suidae
Description: lncRNA (ENSSSCG00040039111.1)
Source: RNAcentral